CGGCACGUGCGGGUGCUAUACAUGCAGUCGAACGCGCAGCGAGAGGUGCUUGCACCUUUCAAGCGAGUGGCGAACGGGUGAGUAACACGUGGAUAACCUGCCUCAAGGCUGGGGAUAACAUUUGGAAACAGAUGCUAAUACCGAAUAAAACUUAGUAUCGCAUGAUAUAAAGUUAAAAGGCGCUACGGCGUCACCUAGAGAUGGAUCCGCGGUGCAUUAGUUAGUUGGUGGGGUAAAGGCUUACCAAGACAAUGAUGCAUAGCCGAGUUGAGAGACUGAUCGGCCACAUUGGGACUGAGACACGGCCCAAACUCCUACGGGAGGCUGCAGUAGGGAAUCUUCCACAAUGGGCGCAAGCCUGAUGGAGCAACGCCGCGUGUGUGAUGAAGGCUUUCGGGUCGUAAAGCACUGUUGUAUGGGAAGAAAUGCUAAAAUAGGGAAUGAUUUUAGUUUGACGGUACCAUACCAGAAAGGGACGGCUAAAUACGUGCCAGCAGCCGCGGUAAUACGUAUGUCCCGAGCGUUAUCCGGAUUUAUUGGGCGUAAAGCGAGCGCAGACGGUUGAUUAAGUCUGAUGUGAAAGCCCGGAGCUCAACUCCGGAAUGGCAUUGGAAACUGGUUAACUUGAGUGUUGUAGAGGUAAGUGGAACUCCAUGUGUAGCGGUGGAAUGCGUAGAUAUAUGGAAGAACACCAGUGGCGAAGGCGGCUUACUGGACAACAACUGACGUUGAGGCUCGAAAGUGUGGGUAGCAAACAGGAUUAGAUACCCUGGUAGUCCACACCGUAAACGAUGAAUACUAGGUGUUAGGAGGUUUCCGCCUCUUAGUGCCGAAGCUAACGCAUUAAGUAUUCCGCCUGGGGAGUACGACCGCAAGGUUGAAACUCAAAGGAAUUGACGGGGACCCGCACAAGCGGUGGAGCAUGUGGUUUAAUUCGAAGCAACGCGAAGAACCUUACCAGGUCUUGACAUCCUUUGAAGCUUUUAGAGAUAGAGUGUUCUCUUCGGAGACAAAGUGACAGGUGGUGCAUGGUCGUCGUCAGCUCGUGUCGUGAGAUGUUGGGUAGUCCCGCACGAGCGCACCCUAUGUAGUGCCAGCAUCAGUGGGCACUCUAGCGAGACUGCCGUGACAACGAGGAGCGGGACGACGUCGAUCAUCAUGCCCUUAUGACUGACUACCACGUGCUACAUGGCGUUACACGAUGCCACCUGCAAGGGGAGCUAUCUCUUAAGUCGCUUCAGUCGGACUCGAGUUGGAAUCGAAU
This 1264-nucleotide ribosomal RNA is filed under the name Leuconostoc citreum. Its description in RNAcentral is "bacterial SSU rRNA". It matches the Rfam family "Bacterial small subunit ribosomal RNA", at positions 31 to 1315 of the family's 1533-position model. The record is from RNAcentral. Lineage: Bacteria; Bacillati; Bacillota; Bacilli; Lactobacillales; Lactobacillaceae.